This 458-nucleotide ribosomal RNA is filed under the name uncultured bacterium. RNAcentral's name for it is "bacterial SSU rRNA". It matches the Rfam family "Bacterial small subunit ribosomal RNA", at positions 29 to 507 of the family's 1533-position model. The record is from RNAcentral.
AACGAACGCUGGCGGCAUGCCUAACACAUGCAAGUCGAACGAAGCCUUCGGGCUUAGUGGCGCACGGGUGCGUAACACGUGGGAAUCUGCCCUUCGGUUCGGAAUAACAGUUAGAAAUGACUGCUAAUACCGGAUGAUGACGUAAGUCCAAAGAUUUAUCGCCGAAGGAUGAGCCCGCGUAGGAUUAGGUAGUUGGUAGGGUAAUGGCCUACCAAGCCGACGAUCCUUAGCUGGUCUGAGAGGAUGAUCAGCCACACUGGGACUGAGACACGGCCCAGACUCCUACGGGAGGCAGCAGUGGGGAAUAUUGGACAAUGGGCGCAAGCCUGAUCCAGCCAUUCCGCGUGCAGGACGAAGGCCUUCGGGUUGUAAACUGCUUUGUACGGAACGAAAGACCCUUCUCUAAUACAGAGGGGUCGAUGACGGUACCGUAAGAAUAAGCACCGGCUAACUACGUG